CGAGCUCGCUCAGUUGGUAGAGCACAAGGCUCUUAACCUUGUCGUCAUGGGUUUAAGCCCCACGGUGGGCACC
Molecule: transfer RNA, 73 nt
Filed under: Helianthus annuus (common sunflower)
Lineage: Eukaryota; Viridiplantae; Streptophyta; Magnoliopsida; Asterales; Asteraceae
Description: tRNA-Lys
Rfam family: tRNA
About the family: Transfer RNA (tRNA) molecules are approximately 80 nucleotides in length. Their secondary structure includes four short double-helical elements and three loops (D, anti-codon, and T loops).
Source: RNAcentral